Schistosoma curassoni is the source of this 45-nucleotide non-coding RNA. The record is from Rfam. Lineage: Eukaryota; Metazoa; Platyhelminthes; Trematoda; Strigeidida; Schistosomatidae.
AUCGAACUGACUGGUCCCAAAUAGGACGAAACGCGCGUCCUGAAU